CGGGUGAGUAACACGUGGAUAACCUACCUAUAAGACUGGGAUAACUUCGGGAAACCGGAGCUAAUACCGGAUAAUAUAUUGAACCGCAUGGUUCAAUAGUGAAAGACGGUUUUGCUGUCACUUAUAGAUGGAUCCGCGCCGCAUUAGCUAGUUGGUAAGGUAACGGCUUACCAAGGCAACGAUGCGUAGCCGACCUGAGAGGGUGAUCGGCCACACUGGAACUGANACACGGUCCAGACUCCUACGGGAGGCAGCAGCU
This 259-nucleotide ribosomal RNA is filed under the name uncultured Staphylococcus sp. RNAcentral describes it as "partial 16S ribosomal RNA". It matches the Rfam family "Bacterial small subunit ribosomal RNA", at positions 103 to 355 of the family's 1533-position model. Lineage: Bacteria; Bacillati; Bacillota; Bacilli; Caryophanales; Staphylococcaceae. The record is from RNAcentral.